CCCCAUAGCUCAGUUGGUAGAGCAUGGUGUUUGCAACGCCAGGGUUGUGGGUUCGAUUCCCACGGGGG
This 68-nucleotide transfer RNA is filed under the name Salmo salar (Atlantic salmon). It matches the Rfam family "tRNA". Rfam says of the family: Transfer RNA (tRNA) molecules are approximately 80 nucleotides in length. Their secondary structure includes four short double-helical elements and three loops (D, anti-codon, and T loops). Lineage: Eukaryota; Metazoa; Chordata; Actinopteri; Salmoniformes; Salmonidae. The record is from Rfam by way of RNAcentral.